UGGGGAAUUUUGGACAAUGGGCGCAAGCCUGAUCCAGCCAUGCCGCGUGCGAGAAGAAGGCCUUCGGGUUGUAAACCGCUUUUGUCAGGGAAGAAAUCCUCUGAGCUAAUACCUCGGGGGGAUGACGGUACCUGGAGAAUAAGCACCGGCUAACUACGUGCCAGCAGCCGCGGUAAUACGUAGGGUGCGAGCGUUAAUCGGAAUUACUGGGCGUAAAGCGUGCGCAGGCGGUUGUGCAAGACAGGUGUGAAAUCCCCGGGCUUAACCUGGGAGCUGCACUUGUGACUGCACGGCUUGAGGACAGGAGAGGAAGGUGGAAUUCCCGGUGUAGCGGUGGAAUGCGUAGAUAUCGGGAGGAACACCAGAGGCGAAGGCGGCUUUCUGGACUGAUCCUGACGCUGAGAUUCGAAAGCUAGGGGAGCAAACAGGAUUAGAUACCCUGGUAGUCCUAGCUGUAAACGAUGGAUACUAGAUUUUGCAUGUAUUUGCUUGGUCGAAGCUAACGCGUUAAGUAUCCCGCCUGGGGAGUACGGUCGCAAGGCUG
This 544-nucleotide ribosomal RNA is filed under the name uncultured bacterium. Its description in RNAcentral is "bacterial SSU rRNA". It matches the Rfam family "Bacterial small subunit ribosomal RNA", at positions 355 to 896 of the family's 1533-position model. The record is from RNAcentral.